GAUGAACGCUGGCGGCGUGCCUAAUACAUGCAAGUCGAGCGAACAGAUGAGGAGCUUGCUCCUCUGACUUUAGCGGCGGACGGGUGAGUAACACGUGGAUAACCUACCUAUAAGACUGGGAUAACUUCGGGAAACCGGAGCUAAUACCGGAUAAUAUAUUGAACCGCAUGGUUCAAUAGUGAAAGACGGUUUUGCUGUCACUUAUAGAUGGAUCCGCGCCGCAUUAUCUAGUUGGUAAGGUAACGGCUUACCAAGGCAACGAUGCGUAGCCGACCUGAGAGGGUGAUCGGCCACACGGGAACUGAGACACGGUCCAGACUCCUACGGGAGGCAGCAGUAGGGAAUCUUCCGCAAUGGGCGAAAGCCUGACGGAGCAACGCCGCGUGAGUGAUGAAGGUCUUCGGAUCGUAAAACUCUGUUAUUAGGGAAGAACAAAUGUGUAAGUAACUAUGCACGUCUUGACGGUACCUAAUCAGAAAGCCACGGCUAACUACGUG
RNAcentral lists this ribosomal RNA (497 nucleotides) under uncultured bacterium. RNAcentral's name for it is "partial 16S ribosomal RNA". It matches the Rfam family "Bacterial small subunit ribosomal RNA", at positions 28 to 507 of the family's 1533-position model. The record is from RNAcentral.